CGUAGGCAGCGAGCGUUGUUCGGAGUUACUGGGCGUAAAGGGUGUGUAGGCGGUUGUUUAAGUUUGGUGUGAAAUCUCCCGGCUCAACUGGGAGGGUGCGCCGAAUACUGAAUGACUUGGAGUGCGGGAGAGGAAAGUGGAAUUCCUGGUGUAGCGGUGAAAUGCGUAGAUAUCAGGAGGAACACCGGUGGUGUAGACGGCUUUCUGGACCGUAACUGACGCUGAGACACGAAAGCGUGGGUAGCAAACAGGAUUAGAUACCCUGGUAGUCCACGCCCUAAACGAUGCAUAUUUGGUGUGGGCAGUUCAUUCUGUCCGUGCCGGAGCUAACGCGUUAAAUAUGCCGCCUGGGGGGUACAGUCGCAAGGCUG
This 371-nucleotide ribosomal RNA is filed under the name uncultured organism. Its description in RNAcentral is "bacterial SSU rRNA". It matches the Rfam family "Bacterial small subunit ribosomal RNA", at positions 526 to 896 of the family's 1533-position model. The record is from RNAcentral.